This 30-nucleotide non-coding RNA is filed under the name Mus musculus (house mouse). Lineage: Eukaryota; Metazoa; Chordata; Mammalia; Rodentia; Muridae. The record is from RNAcentral.
UAGAAACACAAAGUUUUUGCCAUGGGUAGU